Labrus bergylta (ballan wrasse) is the source of this 295-nucleotide non-coding RNA. The record is from RefSeq and is a predicted model, not a curated record. NCBI's taxonomy places the organism in Eukaryota, Metazoa, Chordata, Actinopteri, Labriformes, Labridae.
AAGAGAGGUACAAAAACCCCUCUAUGACCAAUACCCUAACCAUCUCUCUAUUACCCCUGUUAGCGGAACAAAAUAACCACCUCCACAAUUUCAUCCUCUAGCCACAGACUCUACCAUGUCCCGGCUUCAGAGUAAGGAGGGGCCACAUGAGAAAAGAAAAAGAAAGGGCUGUCGAAAAUGUAGCAGGCAGAAGGUCUUCCUUUUUGAGACACUAACUGAGAGAAGGAUUAACGAGGGGAAAGCCGAGUUUAAAGUGGUUGCCCUGCUCCAUGUGGUAAAAUCAAUAUUACAUUUA